CUUGAAAGCCAAAACAAAAAUAUCUUAGAAGAAGUAACGAAGCGUAAAUAAAUAAUAGUUACACUAAAGUAGUAGAAUAAUUUUGUGUCAUCAAUUUGGGAUUAUGUUUCAGAUCUGCACACUUUUGUCCCUUUCCGAUCCCGUGCCCAAAACAUCAGCUGAACCUCGUAAAUGGUCACUGCCACUGGAUCUGACAAAACAUGUCAAAGAUUCUGAGUUGCUGCCACUAAAUCUGACAAAACAUGUCACAAGUUCUGUCGUGGAUCAGUUUAGCUAGACUCUGCAACCAAGCUUUUGCAACAGUUUGAGCGGUUUAUGAUGGACUUUGGGAGGAGCUAUGCGUCGCUGGCGGAGAAAAUGAUGCGGUUCGAGAUUUUCAAAGAAAAUUUGAAAAUAAUUGAGGAUUUGAUGGCCAGUAAGAGAGGAAGUGCCAGGUUUGGUGUGGGCCCUUUUGCUGACAUGUCCGCUGCUGAGUUUCGUCGCAAGUACUUUAGGUGGGGAGGACUGGGCCCACAACCUCGUGAGCAUUCAGUCCAGAGGCGCGCACCCGGAAGGUUCGGUGCCGUCAACUCGAAAGACAACUCCGAUAGGAGGAGACGCAAAAAGAUAACAAUGGAAAAUAGAGAUCCGUUCAAACCCGACCCGACCCCCAUAAAAUUCUCCAACCCCGCUGAUAAGCCCCCCUUAACCGGCUCUAAACCUGCCAACCCUGCCGUUGCACCCCCUUCAAACGACCCGAACCCCGCAGCCAGCCUCGCCCUCGCAUCUUCUUCAACCGGCCAAAAACCCGCUACCUCUGCCGUAGCAUCUUCUUCGACCGGCCAAAAACCCGCUACCUCUGCCGUUGUACCUCCUUCAACCGGCCAAAAACCCGUUGCCCCCGUCUUCCUCAAAAUCAAAAAACCGGCCAAGUCGUAUCUGUCAUGCGUCAUCCUGUAA
Molecule: long non-coding RNA, 939 nt
Filed under: Bemisia tabaci
Lineage: Eukaryota; Metazoa; Arthropoda; Insecta; Hemiptera; Aleyrodidae
Description: lncRNA ENSSSA2NGG004512
Source: RNAcentral